CUGAACACGUAUAAAUAUAUUAGCAGUGACGAAGAGAGUCAAAAAGAUCACUGUAUACUUACGAAAGGGACAUUUAGCUUCGGAAAGGGGUGCUGCACGAAGGGAAUAAUUUCAUAAGAAAAGAUAGAAGAUGAAGUAUGCGAUAGUGUUUGUCCUUAUUCUGGUUGCUGCCCUUCCGUCAUCUGCUCUUCCUUCUUCUUCCUGUGAUGUGUGUGAGCAAGAUUUAGACCUGUGUGAGGGUGCAUGUAUAAGAGGCUAUGUCGAUUGCACCGUUUGCACACAGCAAUGGCAAGAUUGCAUUAGCGGUUGUUCUGGAAAAUGAGCUAAAGAACUGAAAGGCUUCAAGAUCACCAAAGACCUCUCGAGUUAUAUUUCAAGAUUUUGUUUUUGUGUUUUAGGACAAAAAUGUAGUACCACAUUGUACGAUUUCCAAAGUAAAUUGAAACUUUAUUCCACGUUAACUGAUAUGAAAUAAAAUAGAAGGAAUUUA
Long non-coding RNA from Pocillopora damicornis (cauliflower coral), 490 nucleotides. The record is from RefSeq and is a predicted model, not a curated record. Lineage: Eukaryota; Metazoa; Cnidaria; Anthozoa; Scleractinia; Pocilloporidae.